This 249-nucleotide ribosomal RNA is filed under the name uncultured bacterium. RNAcentral's name for it is "partial 16S ribosomal RNA". It matches the Rfam family "Bacterial small subunit ribosomal RNA", at positions 524 to 771 of the family's 1533-position model. The record is from RNAcentral.
UACGGAGGGUGCAAGGCGUUGUCCGGAUUUACUGGGUUAAAGGGUGCGUAGGUGGGUAGGAAAGUCAGUGGUGAAAUCUUCGGGCCUAACCCGGAAACUGCCAUUGAUACUAUUUAUCUGAAUACUUUGGAGGUAAGCGGAAUAUGUCAUGUAGCGGUGAAAUGCUUAGAUAUGACAUAGAACACCAAAUUGCGAAGGCAGCUUACUACACAGUUAUUGACACUGACGGCACGAAAGCGUGGGGAUCAA